GGGAUACCGUAGCACCUACCUUUAGACGUGGAUAACAAUUGGAAACAGUUGCUAAGACAGGAUAGGAAAUUAAGAGGCAUCUUUUAAUUUUUAAAAGACCUUUUUCGNAAGGUAUGCUUAAAGAGGGGCUUGCGCCACAUUAGUUAGUUGGUAAGGUAAAGGCUUACCAAGACGAUGAUGUGUAGCUGGACUGAGAGGUUGAACAGCCACAUUGGGACUGAGACACGGCCCAAACUCCUACGGGAGGCAGCAGUAAGGAAUUUUUGGCAAUGGAGGAAACUCUGACCGAGCGACGCCGCGUGAACAAUGAAGUACUUCGGUAUGUAAAGUUCUUUUAUUGAAAAAGAAAAAAUAGUGGAAAAACUAUCUUGACAUUAUUCAAUGAAUAAGCCCCGGCUAAUUAUGUGCCAGCAGCCGCGGUAAUACAUAAGGGGCGAGCGUUAUCCGGAAUUAUUGGGCGUAAAGGGUGCGUAGGCGGUUUGAUAAGUCUAUAGUUUAAAUGCAGCGCUUAACGCUGUAGCGCUAUAGAAACUGUCUGACUAGAGUUAGAUAGAGGCAAGCGGAAUUCCAUGUGUAGCGGUAAAAUGCGUAAAUAUAUGGAGGAACACCAGAGGCGUAGGCGGCUUGCUGGGUCUUAACUGACGCUGAGGCACGAAAGCGUGGGGAGCAAACAGGAUUAGAUACCCUGGUAGUCCACGCCGUAAACGAUGAGUACUAAGUGUCGGGUUUCGGCUCGGUACUGAAGUUAACACAUUAAGUACUCCGCCUGAGUAGUACGUACGCAAGUAUGAAACUUAAAGGAAUUGACGGGACCCCGCACAAGCGGUGGAUCAUGUUGUUUAAUUCGAAGAUACACGAAAAACCUUACCAGGUCUUGACAUAAUUUUGCGACAUUAUAGAAAUAUAAUGAAGGUUAUCAGAAUUACAGGUGGUGCAUGGUUGUCGUCAGCUCGUGUCGUGAGAUGUUAGGUUAAGUCCUAAAACGAGCGCAACCCUUGUCGUUAGUUGCGACCACGUAAUGGUGAGCACUUUAGCGAGACUGCCAAUGAAAAAUUGGAGGAAGGUGAGGAUUACGUCAAAUCAUCAUGCCCCUUAUGAUCUGGGCUACAAACGUGAUACAAUGGCUGUUACAAAGAGUAGCUACAACGUGAGUUUUUAGCCAAUCUCAAAAAAACAGUCUCAGUUCGGAUUGAAGUCUGCAACUCGACUUCAUGAAGUUGGAAUCGCUAGUAAUCGCGAAUCAGCAUGUCGCGGUGAAUACGUUCUCGGGGUUUGUACACACCGCCCGUCAAACCACGAAAGUUGAUAAUACCCGAAAGCGGUCACCUAACUUCGUCAGAAGAGGGAGCCGUCUAAGGUAGGAUCGAUGAUUGGGGUUAAGUCGUAACAAGGUAUCCCUACCGGAAGGUGGGGAUGGAUCA
RNAcentral lists this ribosomal RNA (1421 nucleotides) under Echinops witches'-broom phytoplasma. RNAcentral's name for it is "bacterial SSU rRNA". It matches the Rfam family "Bacterial small subunit ribosomal RNA". Lineage: Bacteria; Bacillati; Mycoplasmatota; Mollicutes; Acholeplasmatales; Acholeplasmataceae. The record is from RNAcentral.